UCUUUAGUUGAAGAGAACUGGAAAGUUCCGUCGUAGAAGGUAAUAACCCUGUAGGCGAAAAGGAAAGAAAAGUAGAUCUACUCCAGAGUACCACGAGACACGUGAAACCUUGUGGGAAGCUGGGAGGACCAUCUCCCAAGGCUAAAUACUACCUAGUGACCGAUAGUGAAGCAGUACCGUGAGGGAAAGGUGAAAAGAACCCCGGAAGGGGAGUGAAAUAGAAUCUGAAACCGUGUGCCUACAAUCGGUCGGAGCACAUUAAAGUGUGACGGCGUACUUUUUGUAGAACGGGCCAGCGAGUUACGAUAUAUAGCGAGGUUAAGCACUUAUGGUGUGGAGCCGAAGGGAAACCGAGUCUGAAUAGGGCAACUAGUUGUAUAUUGUAGACCCGAAACCGGGUGACCUAUCCAUGGCCAGGAUGAAGCGGAAGUAAAAUUCCGUGGAGGGCCGAACCACGUUGGUGUUGAAAAACCAUGGGAUGAGCUGUGGAUAGCGGAGAAAUUCCAAUCGAACUCGGAGAUAGCUGGUUCUCCUCGAAAUAGCUUUAGGGCUAGCGUCGGGUAAUUGAGUAGUGGAGGUAGAGCACUGAAUGGGCUAGGGGCUGACAACAGUUACUGAACCCUAUCAAACUCCGAAUGCCAUAUACUUGUACCCCGGCAGUCAGACUACGAAUGAUAAGAUCCGUGGUCAAAAGGG
RNAcentral lists this ribosomal RNA (696 nucleotides) under Clostridium botulinum C/D. RNAcentral's name for it is "partial 23S ribosomal RNA". It matches the Rfam family "Bacterial large subunit ribosomal RNA", at positions 326 to 1019 of the family's 2925-position model. The record is from RNAcentral. Lineage: Bacteria; Bacillati; Bacillota; Clostridia; Eubacteriales; Clostridiaceae.